UAACUUGGUCAUUGCCUCCCAUUAAAGUGCAUGAUAAUGAGUCUAAUAUUCCAAAUAGACAUUGGAUUUGCCACACGCCUGGUGUCUAUUACGUAUUGAAAUUAUCAUUCAUCAUAUGACCAUCAUGAUAUACCUUCAGAUCAAUGCUCAAGUUGGCCAAGCCAUACUCGGGUCUGAACAUCUGUUUGUUGGAUACACUUGAUAUGUCAUGGUAAUGGCUAGACCUAAUCGAGAUUUUUAAUGGAGGUGACAUACGCCUACUGAAAAGAUGCCUGGGGCAAAACUUAUUGCUAGAAGUUGUUUGGAGAAAUAAUUGCUUAUGAACCUACCCAUGGAUGCACU
Molecule: long non-coding RNA, 342 nt
Filed under: Elaeis guineensis (African oil palm)
Lineage: Eukaryota; Viridiplantae; Streptophyta; Magnoliopsida; Arecales; Arecaceae
Description: long non-coding RNA (EGUI_LNC038353)
Source: RNAcentral